This 2755-nucleotide ribosomal RNA is filed under the name Klebsiella pneumoniae. RNAcentral describes it as "bacterial LSU rRNA". It matches the Rfam family "Bacterial large subunit ribosomal RNA". Lineage: Bacteria; Pseudomonadati; Pseudomonadota; Gammaproteobacteria; Enterobacterales; Enterobacteriaceae. The record is from RNAcentral. RNAcentral also lists the same sequence under 1 other name.
ACUAUCGUUAACUGAAUACAUAGGUUAACGAGGCGAACCGGGGGAACUGAAACAUCUAAGUACCCCGAGGAAAAGAAAUCAACCGAGAUUCCCCCAGUAGCGGCGAGCGAACGGGGAGCAGCCCAGAGUCUGAAUCAGCUUGUGUGUUAGUGGAACGGUCUGGAAAGUCCGACGGUACAGGGUGAUAGUCCCGUACACCAAAAUGCACAGGUUGUGAACUCGAAGAGUAGGGCGGGACACGUGGUAUCCUGUCUGAAUAUGGGGGGACCAUCCUCCAAGGCUAAAUACUCCUGACUGACCGAUAGUGAACCAGUACCGUGAGGGAAAGGCGAAAAGAACCCCGGCGAGGGGAGUGAAAAAGAACCUGAAACCGUGUACGUACAAGCAGUGGGAGCACCUUCGGGUGUGACUGCGUACCUUUUGUAUAAUGGGUCAGCGACUUAUAUUCUGUAGCAAGGUUAACCGUAUAGGGGAGCCGCAGGGAAACCGAGUCUUAACUGGGCGUUAAGUUGCAGGGUAUAGACCCGAAACCCGGUGAUCUAGCCAUGGGCAGGUUGAAGGUUGGGUAACACUAACUGGAGGACCGAACCGACUAAUGUUGAAAAAUUAGCGGAUGACUUGUGGCUGGGGGUGAAAGGCCAAUCAAACCGGGAGAUAGCUGGUUCUCCCCGAAAGCUAUUUAGGUAGCGCCUCGUGAAUUCAUCUUCGGGGGUAGAGCACUGUUUCGGCUAGGGGGUCAUCCCGACUUACCAACCCGAUGCAAACUACGAAUACCGAAGAAUGUUAUCACGGGAGACACACGGCGGGUGCUAACGUCCGUCGUGAAGAGGGAAACAACCCAGACCGCCAGCUAAGGUCCCAAAGUCAUGGUUAAGUGGGAAACGAUGUGGGAAGGCACAGACAGCCAGGAUGUUGGCUUAGAAGCAGCCAUCAUUUAAAGAAAGCGUAAUAGCUCACUGGUCGAGUCGGCCUGCGCGGAAGAUGUAACGGGGCUAAACCAUGCACCGAAGCUGCGGCAGCGACACUAUGUGUUGUUGGGUAGGGGAGCGUUCUGUAAGCCUGCGAAGGUGACCUGUGAGGGUUGCUGGAGGUAUCAGAAGUGCGAAUGCUGACAUAAGUAACGAUAAAGCGGGUGAAAAGCCCGCUCGCCGGAAGACCAAGGGUUCCUGUCCAACGUUAAUCGGGGCAGGGUGAGUCGACCCCUAAGGCGAGGCCGAAAGGCGUAGUCGAUGGGAAACAGGUUAAUAUUCCUGUACUUGGUGUUACUGCGAAGGGGGGACGGAGAAGGCUAUGUUAGCCGGGCGACGGUUGUCCCGGUUUAAGCAUGUAGGCUGGUUAUCCAGGCAAAUCCGGAUAAUCAAGGCUGAGGUGUGAUGACGAGGCACUACGGUGCUGAAGUAACAAAUGCCCUGCUUCCAGGAAAAGCCUCUAAGCAUCAGGUAACAUCAAAUCGUACCCCAAACCGACACAGGUGGUCAGGUAGAGAAUACCAAGGCGCUUGAGAGAACUCGGGUGAAGGAACUAGGCAAAAUGGUGCCGUAACUUCGGGAGAAGGCACGCUGGUGUGUAGGUGAAGCCCCUGCGGGUGGAGCUGAGACCAGUCGAAGAUACCAGCUGGCUGCAACUGUUUAUUAAAAACACAGCACUGUGCAAACACGAAAGUGGACGUAUACGGUGUGACGCCUGCCCGGUGCCGGAAGGUUAAUUGAUGGGGUUAUCCGUAAGGAGAAGCUCUUGAUCGAAGCCCCGGUAAACGGCGGCCGUAACUAUAACGGUCCUAAGGUAGCGAAAUUCCUUGUCGGGUAAGUUCCGACCUGCACGAAUGGCGUAAUGAUGGCCAGGCUGUCUCCACCCGAGACUCAGUGAAAUUGAACUCGCUGUGAAGAUGCAGUGUACCCGCGGCAAGACGGAAAGACCCCGUGAACCUUUACUAUAGCUUGACACUGAACAUUGAGCCUUGAUGUGUAGGAUAGGUGGGAGGCUUUGAAGCGUGGACGCCAGUCUGCGUGGAGCCAACCUUGAAAUACCACCCUUUAAUGUUUGAUGUUCUAACGUUGGCCCCUUACCGGGGUUGCGGACAGUGUCUGGUGGGUAGUUUGACUGGGGCGGUCUCCUCCCAAAGCGUAACGGAGGAGCACGAAGGUUAGCUAAUCCUGGUCGGACAUCAGGAGGUUAGUGCAAUGGCAUAAGCUAGCUUGACUGCGAGCGUGACGGCGCGAGCAGGUGCGAAAGCAGGUCAUAGUGAUCCGGUGGUUCUGAAUGGAAGGGCCAUCGCUCAACGGAUAAAAGGUACUCCGGGGAUAACAGGCUGAUACCGCCCAAGAGUUCAUAUCGACGGCGGUGUUUGGCACCUCGAUGUCGGCUCAUCACAUCCUGGGGCUGAAGUAGGUCCCAAGGGUAUGGCUGUUCGCCAUUUAAAGUGGUACGCGAGCUGGGUUUAGAACGUCGUGAGACAGUUCGGUCCCUAUCUGCCGUGGGCGCUGGAGAAUUGAGGGGGGCUGCUCCUAGUACGAGAGGACCGGAGUGGACGCAUCACUGGUGUUCGGGUUGUCAUGCCAAUGGCACUGCCCGGUAGCUAAAUGCGGAAGAGAUAAGUGCUGAAAGCAUCUAAGCACGAAACUUGCCCCGAGAUGAGUUCUCCCUGAGACUUUAAGUCUCCUGAAGGAACGUUGAAGACGACGACGUUGAUAGGCCGGGUGUGUAAGCGCAGCGAUGCGUUGAGCUAACCGGUACUAAUGAACCGUGAGGCUUAACC